This 652-nucleotide ribosomal RNA is filed under the name Actinomycetota bacterium. Its description in RNAcentral is "bacterial SSU rRNA". It matches the Rfam family "Bacterial small subunit ribosomal RNA", at positions 84 to 748 of the family's 1533-position model. The record is from RNAcentral. Lineage: Bacteria; Bacillati; Actinomycetota.
GGGGUACUCGAGUGGCGAACGGGUGAGUAACACGUGGGUGAUCUGCCCUGCACUUUGGGAUAAGCCUGGGAAACUGGGUCUAAUACCGAAUACACCUCGCUGGCCGCAUGGUCUGGUGGGGGAAAGCUUUUGCGGUGUGGGAUGGGCCCGCGGCCUAUCAGCUUGUUGGUGGGGUGAUGGCCUACCAAGGCGACGACGGGUAGCCGGCCUGAGAGGGUGACCGGCCACACUGGGACUGAGAUACGGCCCAGACUCCUACGGGAGGCAGCAGUGGGGAAUAUUGCACAAUGGGCGCAAGCCUGAUGCAGCGACGCCGCGUGGGGGAUGACGGCCUUCGGGUUGUAAACCCCUUUCAGCACAGACGAAGCGCAAGUGACGGUAUGUGCAGAAGAAGGACCGGCCAACUACGUGCCAGCAGCCGCGGUAAUACGUAGGGUCCGAGCGUUGUCCGGAAUUACUGGGCGUAAAGAGCUCGUAGGUGGUUUGUCGCGUUGUUCGUGAAAACUCACAGCUCAACUGUGGGCGUGCGGGCGAUACGGGCAGACUGGAGUACUGCAGGGGAGACUGGAAUUCCUGGUGUAGCGGUGGAAUGCGCAGAUAUCAGGAGGAACACCGGUGGCGAAGGCGGGUCUCUGGGCAGUAACUGACGCUG